UAAGACGUAAGGGGCCAGCGUUGUCCGGAAUUACUGGGCGUAAAGAGCGCGUAGGCGGCUUGAUAAGCGGCGGGUGAAAUCCCCCGGCUCAACUGGGGAACUGCUUGCCGAACUGUCAGGCUAGAGUGCGGGAGAGGGCAGUGGAAUUCCUGGUGUAGCGGUGAAAUGCGUCAAUAUCAGGAAGAACACCGGUGGCGAAGGCUGCUGCCUGGAACGCAACUGACGCUGAGGCGCGAAAGCUAGGGGAGCGAACGGG
RNAcentral lists this ribosomal RNA (256 nucleotides) under uncultured bacterium. Its description in RNAcentral is "partial 16S ribosomal RNA". It matches the Rfam family "Bacterial small subunit ribosomal RNA", at positions 521 to 776 of the family's 1533-position model. The record is from RNAcentral.